UUUAUGGAGAGUUUGAUCCUGGCUCAGGAUGAACGCUGGCGGCGUGCCUAAUACAUGCAAGUCGAGCGAACGGACGAGAAGCUUGCUUCUCUGAUGUUAGCGGCGGACGGGUGAGUAACACGUGGAUAACCUACCUAUAAGACUGGGAUAACUUCGGGAAACCGGAGCUAAUACCGGAUAAUAUUUUGAACCGCAUGGUUCAAAAGUGAAAGACGGUCUUGCUGUCACUUAUAGAUGGAUCCGCGCUGCAUUAGCUAGUUGGUAAGGUAACGGCUUACCAAGGCAACGAUGCAUAGCCGACCUGAGAGGGUGAUCGGCCACACUGGAACUGAGACACGGUCCAGACUCCUACGGGAGGCAGCAGUAGGGAAUCUUCCGCAAUGGGCGAAAGCCUGACGGAGCAACGCCGCGUGAGUGAUGAAGGUCUUCGGAUCGUAAAACUCUGUUAUUAGGGAAGAACAUAUGUAUAAGUAACUGUGCACAUCUUGACGGUACCUAAUCAGAAAGCCACGGCUAACUACGUGCCAGCAGCCGCGGUAAUACGUAGGUGGCAAGCGUUAUCCGGAAUUAUUGGGCGUAAAGCGCGCGUAGGCGGUUUUUUAAGUCUGAUGUGAAAGCCCACGGCUCAACCGUGGAGGGUCAUUGGAAACUGGAAAACUUGAGUGCAGAAGAGGAAAGUGGAAUUCCAUGUGUAGCGGUGAAAUGCGCAGAGAUAUGGAGGAACACCAGUGGCGAAGGCGACUUUCUGGUCUGUAACUGACGCUGAUGUGCGAAAGCGUGGGGAUCAAACAGGAUUAGAUACCCUGGUAGUCCACGCCGUAAACGAUGAGUGCUAAGUGUUAGGGGGUUUCCGCCCCUUAGUGCUGCAGCUAACGCAUUAAGCACUCCGCCUGGGGAGUACGACCGCAAGGUUGAAACUCAAAGGAAUUGACGGGGACCCGCACAAGCGGUGGAGCAUGUGGUUUAAUUCGAAGCAACGCGAAGAACCUUACCAAAUCUUGACAUCCUUUGACAACUCUAGAGAUAGAGCCUUCCCCUUCGGGGGACAAAGUGACAGGUGGUGCAUGGUUGUCGUCAGCUCGUGUCGUGAGAUGUUGGGUUAAGUCCCGCAACGAGCGCAACCCUUAAGCUUAGUUGCCAUCAUUAAGUUGGGCACUCUAAGUUGACUGCCGGUGACAAACCGGAGGAAGGUGGGGAUGACGUCAAAUCAUCAUGCCCCUUAUGAUUUGGGCUACACACGUGCUACAAUGGACAAUACAAAGGGCAGCGAAACCGCGAGGUCAAGCAAAUCCCAUAAAGUUGUUCUCAGUUCGGAUUGUAGUCUGCAACUCGACUACAUGAAGCUGGAAUCGCUAGUAAUCGUAGAUCAGCAUGCUACGGUGAAUACGUUCCCGGGUCUUGUACACACCGCCCGUCACACCACGAGAGUUUGUAACACCCGAAGCCGGUGGAGUAACCUUUUAGGAUCUAGCCGUCGAAGGUGGGACAAAUGAUUGGGGUGAAGUCGUAACAAGGUAGCCGUAUCGGAAGGUGCGGCUGGAUCACCUCCUUU
RNAcentral lists this ribosomal RNA (1552 nucleotides) under Staphylococcus aureus subsp. aureus TW20. RNAcentral's name for it is "16S ribosomal RNA". It matches the Rfam family "Bacterial small subunit ribosomal RNA". The record is from RNAcentral. Lineage: Bacteria; Bacillati; Bacillota; Bacilli; Caryophanales; Staphylococcaceae.